CUUAACACAUGCAAGUCGAGCGGAAACGAUGGUAGCUUGCUACCAGGCGUCGAGCGGCGGACGGGUGAGUAAUACUUAGGAAUCUACCUAGUAGUGGGGGAUAGCACGGGGAAACUCGUAUUAAUACCGCAUACGACCUACGGGAGAAAGGGGGCAGUUUACUGCUCUCGCUAUUAGAUGAGCCUAAGUCGGAUUAGCUAGAUGGUGGGGUAAAGGCCUACCAUGGCGACGAUCUGUAGCUGGUCUGAGAGGAUGAUCAGCCACACCGGGACUGAGACACGGCCCGGACUCCUACGGGAGGCAGCAGUGGGGAAUAUUGGACAAUGGGGGAAACCCUGAUCCAGCCAUGCCGCGUGUGUGAAGAAGGCCUUUUGGUUGUAAAGCACUUUAAGCAGUGAAGAAGACUCUUCGGUUAAUACCCGGAGACGAUGACAUUAGCUGCAGAAUAAGCACCGGCUAACUCUGUGCCAGCAGCCGCGGUAAUACAGAGGGUGCAAGCGUUAAUCGGAAUUACUGGGCGUAAAGCGAGCGUAGGUGGCUUGAUAAGUCAGAUGUGAAAUCCCCGGGCUUAACCUGGGAACUGCAUCUGAAACUGUCAGACUAGAGUAGGUGAGAGGGAGGUAGAAUUUCAGGUGUAGCGGUGAAAUGCGUAGAGAUCUGAAGGAAUACCGAUGGCGAAGGCAGCCUCCUGGCAUCAUACUGACACUGAGGCUCGAAAGCGUGGGUAGCAAACAGGAUUAGAUACCCUGGUAGUCCACGCCGUAAACGAUGUCUACUAGUCGUUGGGUCCCUUGAGGACUUAGUGACGCAGCUAACGCAAUAAGUAGACCGCCUGGGGAGUACGGCCGCAAGGUUAAAACUCAAAUGAAUUGACGGGGGCCCGCACAAGCGGUGGAGCAUGUGGUUUAAUUCGAUGCAACGCGAAGAACCUUACCUGGUCUUGACAUAUCUAGAAUCCUGCAGAGAUGCGGGAGUGCCUUCGGGAAUUAGAAUACAGGUGCUGCAUGGCUGUCGUCAGCUCGUGUCCUGAGAUGUUGGGUUAAGUCCCGCAACGAGCGCAACCCUUGUCCUUAGUUACCAGCGGGUUAAGCCGGGAACUCUAAGGAUACUGCCAGUGACAAACUGGAAGAAGGCGGGGACGACGUCAAGUCAUCAUGGCCCUUACGA
RNAcentral lists this ribosomal RNA (1167 nucleotides) under Psychrobacter sp. Its description in RNAcentral is "bacterial SSU rRNA". It matches the Rfam family "Bacterial small subunit ribosomal RNA", at positions 47 to 1207 of the family's 1533-position model. Lineage: Bacteria; Pseudomonadati; Pseudomonadota; Gammaproteobacteria; Moraxellales; Moraxellaceae. The record is from RNAcentral.